GUGGGGAAUUUUGGACAAUGGGCGCAAGCCUGAUCCAGCAAUGCCGCGUGCAGGAAGAAGGCCUUCGGGUUGUAAACUGCUUUUGUACGGAACGAAACGGUCCUGGCUAAUAUCCGGGGCUAAUGACGGUACCGUAAGAAUAAGCACCGGCUAACUACGUGCCAGCAGCCGCGGUAAUACGUAGGGUGCGAGCGUUAAUCGGAAUUACUGGGCGUAAAGCGUGCGCAGGCGGUGCUGUAAGACAGGCGUGAAAUCCCCGGGCUCAACCUGGGAAUUGCGCUUGUGACUGCAGUGCUGUAGUGCGGCAGAGGGGGAUGGAAUUCCGCGUGUAGCAGUGAAAUGCGUAGAUAUGCGGAGGAACACCGAUGGCGAAGGCAAUCCCCUGGGCCUGCACUGACGCUCAUGCACGAAAGCGUGGGGAGCAAACAGGAUUAGAUACCCCAGUAGUCC
Molecule: ribosomal RNA, 450 nt
Filed under: uncultured bacterium
Lineage: Bacteria
Description: partial 16S ribosomal RNA
Rfam family: Bacterial small subunit ribosomal RNA
Source: RNAcentral